This 30-nucleotide non-coding RNA is filed under the name Mus musculus (house mouse). Lineage: Eukaryota; Metazoa; Chordata; Mammalia; Rodentia; Muridae. The record is from RNAcentral.
UGUAAUCUUUGUGGCCUUACCUAAAUAAGC